Molecule: ribosomal RNA, 460 nt
Filed under: uncultured bacterium
Lineage: Bacteria
Description: partial 16S ribosomal RNA
Rfam family: Bacterial small subunit ribosomal RNA
Source: RNAcentral
CCUACGGGAGGCAGCAGUGAGGAAUAUUGGUCAAUGGGCGAGAGCCUGAACCAGCCAAGUCGCGUGAAGGAUGAAGGAUCUAUGGUUUGUAAACUUCUUUUAUAUGGGAAUAAAGUGAGGAACGUGUUCCUUUUUGUAUGUACCAUAUGAUUAAGCAUCGGCUAACUCCGUGCCAGCAGCCGCGGUCAUACGGAGGAUGCGAGCGUUAUCCGGAUUUAUUGGGUUUAAAGGGUGCGUAGGUGGUUAAUUAAGUCAGCGGUGAAAGUUUGUGGCUCAACCAUAAAAUUGCCGUUGAAACUGGGUGACUAGAGUGUAGUUGAGGUAGGAGGAAUGCGUGGUGUAGCGGUGAAAUGCAUAGAUAUCACGCAGAACUCCGAUUGCGAAGGCAGCUUGCUAAACUAUAACUGACACUGAAGCACGAAAGCGUGGGGAUCAAACAGGAUUAGAUACCCCAGUAGUC